Molecule: ribosomal RNA, 433 nt
Filed under: uncultured bacterium
Lineage: Bacteria
Description: partial 16S ribosomal RNA
Rfam family: Bacterial small subunit ribosomal RNA
Source: RNAcentral
AACGAACGCUGGCGGCAUGCCUAACACAUGCAAGUCGAACGAGACCUUCGGGACUAGUGGCGCAUGGGUGCGUCACGCGUGGGAACCUGCCUUUAGGUUCGGAAUAACUCAGAGAAAUUUGAGCUAAUACCGGAUGAUGUCUUCGGACCAAAGAUUUAUCGCCUUUAGAUGGGCCCGCGUUGGAUUCGCUAGUUGGGGGGGUAAAAGCCUACCAAGGCGACGAUCCAUAGCUGGUCUGAGAGGAUGAUCCGCCACACUGGGACUGUGACACGGCCCAGACUCCUACGGGAGGGAGCAGUGGGGAAUAUUGGACAAUGGGGGAAAGCCUGAUCCAGCACUGCCGCGUGAGUGAUGAAGGCCGUAGAGUUGUAAAGCUCUUUUACCCGAGAUGAUAAUGACAGUAUCGGAAGAAUAAGCUCCGGCUAACUCCGUG